CCCACGGGAGGCAGCAGUGAGGAAUAUUGGUCAAUGGGCGCGAGCCUGAACCAGCCAAGUAGCGUGAAGGAUGACUGCCCUACGGGUUGUAAACUUCUUUUAUAAAGGAAUAAAGUGAGGCACGUGUGCCUUUUUGUAUGUACUUUAUGAAUAAGGAUCGGCUAACUCCGUGCCAGCAGCCGCGGUAAUACGGAGGAUCCGAGCGUUAUCCGGAUUUAUUGGGUUUAAAGGGUGCGCAGGCGGAGGUGCAAGUCAGCGGUCAAAUUGCGGGGCUCAACCCCGGCGAGCCGUUGAAACUGGCGGGCUGGAGUUGGAGAGAAGUACGCGGAAUGCGCGGUGUAGCGGUGAAAUGCUUAGAUAUCGCGCAGAACCCCGAUUGCGAAGGCAGCGUACCGGCUCCACACUGACGCUGAGGCACGAAAGCGUGGGUAUCGAACAGGAUUAGAUACCCCUGUAGUC
Molecule: ribosomal RNA, 459 nt
Filed under: uncultured bacterium
Lineage: Bacteria
Description: partial 16S ribosomal RNA
Rfam family: Bacterial small subunit ribosomal RNA
Source: RNAcentral